CUCUCUCGGUCGUACUCGAUCGCAUAUGUGUAAACGGCGCUUUUGUGCAUGCACAAACAGUAGCUUCAGGAUAAAGUUGCUCAAUGCACUAACCCCAAAGGAUUUCGAUCACAUCCCGGGUGUUGAUAUUUUAUCUGUAUCCCUGCACUGCAGAACAGGUCAAGAGGCACGUAGAUUGCUGUGCGUGUGAAUAUAAAGCGAGCUGUGCUAUUUCUAAGGGGUGCUUAAUUUGUUGUUAGCUUCCUGGGAUUUCUCAAGGUACCAGUAGGUAUCCAAGCUCUACAUGCACACUGUUCCUGACACAAUUACGGCGGGAAGAAGCUUAUUUCCUUUACUUGGUUGAGCUUAAUGGUGCAAUCAUCAUGGUCUUUGCAGUGUCGACAACAAGGGAAGCGUAAUGUUGUCACUUGUUCUUUUGUUGAUUUGUGAAGCAAGUUCUGGUUUCUUUUUUGUUCCAGAAUGUGAGUCAUGAUGUUGCAGGAAGUCUGUGUGAUGAAGAAAAAACUGCAGGUGGCUAGAAGCUGCUGAGGUGCUGCCAGUCUGGAUAGCAGCCAUCAACUCAGCAAAGGCUUGUAGGCGAAGCAGCCCCACCUGUUUCUCUGCUGCCAUUCGAGACAGGAUGCUUUGUAAAAUGUGCAACAGGGCCCAUGCACCGCUUCCCCAGGGUUCUGUUGUGGGAGCUCAUGUAGGUGGCACUGUGUACAGAGGGGCAGGGUGGCUGACAGUGAGCUGCCCAAGCAAGCUGCUGGCUCUUGUGACCGUCUCCGAAAGCCCGUGGAUGGGCUAAAUCACGGUCGUGCCUGGACAUUCAUAAAUGGUGCUGCUAUCCAGCUCUACGUCACAGCCAUGAAGUGGUUAUGGGGUGAACCAUCGACAACUGCUUUCAUUAGUACUCGGAUCGGCAGAGCCACCUGCUAGCUGUGAAGCCCAGUUACCAGGCAGCAAAUACUCGACCAGCAACCAGCCUUUGUCACUCUAGUGGGACUCAAUGAUUAUGCCCGAGCCUCACUAGAGCGACAAACAGAAACAAAUGACACGGACAAGCCUCCAACCCAUGCAGCAUAUAUGUGAUGGUACCUUUUGCAGCCGUUUAUUCGUUCGGUGCUCGUGAAAUAAGCAUGAGUGAUUGUAAGCCUGCCAAAGAACCCUCGCGUGCAUGAUGCUUGUGUUUAAGCAUAGCCUCCUUUAUUCUACAAAGCCUCUCAGAUCGCGAAAGACUCAGGUUUGAGCCUUGUCGCUGUCGUUUGUCGCUGUAGUGGGCCUCUGGCAUAAGCCAGC
Ixodes scapularis (black-legged tick) is the source of this 1278-nucleotide long non-coding RNA. RefSeq lists it as uncharacterized. The transcript has 3 exons. The record is from RefSeq and is a predicted model, not a curated record. NCBI's taxonomy places the organism in Eukaryota, Metazoa, Arthropoda, Arachnida, Ixodida, Ixodidae.